RNAcentral lists this ribosomal RNA (492 nucleotides) under uncultured bacterium. Its description in RNAcentral is "partial 16S ribosomal RNA". It matches the Rfam family "Bacterial small subunit ribosomal RNA", at positions 29 to 507 of the family's 1533-position model. The record is from RNAcentral.
AAUGAACGCUGGCGGUAGGCCUAACACAUGCAAGUCGAACGGCAGCACAGUAAGAGCUUGCUCUUACGGGUGGCGAGUGGUGGACGGGUGAGGAAUACAUCGGAAUCUACUUUUUCGUGGGGGAUAACGUAGGGAAACUUACGCUAAUACAGCAUACGACCUACGGGUGAAAGCAGGGGAUCUUCGGACCUUUCGCGAUUGAAUGAGCCGAUGUCGGAUUAGCUAGUUGGCGGGGUAAAGACCCACCAAGGCGACGAUCCGUAGCUGGUCUGAGAGGAUGAUCAGGCACACUGGAACUGAGACACGGUCCAGACUCCUACGGGAGGCAGCAGUGGGGAAUCUUAGACAAUGGGGGCGAGCCUGAUACAGCCAUACCGAGUGGGUGAAGAAGGCCUUCGGGUUGUAAAGCCCUUUUGUUGGGAAAGAAAAGCAGCAGGUUAAUACCCCGCUGCUCUGACGGUACCCAAAGAAUAAGCACCGGCUAACUUCGUG